RNAcentral lists this ribosomal RNA (427 nucleotides) under Chloroflexota bacterium. Its description in RNAcentral is "Chloroflexi bacterium partial 16S ribosomal RNA". It matches the Rfam family "Bacterial small subunit ribosomal RNA", at positions 355 to 776 of the family's 1533-position model. The record is from RNAcentral. Lineage: Bacteria; Bacillati; Chloroflexota.
UGGGGAAUAUUGCACAAUGGGCGCAAGCCUGAUGCAGCCAUGCCGCGUGUAUGAAGAAGGCCUUCGGGUUGUAAAGCACUUUCAGCGGGGAGGAAGGCGAUAAGGUUAAUAACCUUGUCGAUUGACGUUACCCGCAGAAGAAGCACCGGCUAACUCCGUGCCAGCAGCCGCGGUAAUACGGAGGGUGCAAGCGUUAAUCGGAAUUACUGGGCGUAAAGCGCACGCAGGCGGUCUGUCAAGUCGGAUGUGAAAUCCCCGGGCUCAACCUGGGAACUGCAUUCGAAACUGGCAGGCUAGAGUCUUGUAGAGGGGGGUAGAAUUCCAGGUGUAGCGGUGAAAUGCGUAGAGAUCUGGAGGAAUACCGGUGGCGAAGGCGGCCCCCUGGACAAAGACUGACGCUCAGGUGAAAGCGUGGGGAGCAAACAGG